UGGGCCAGUGAUGAGUACCCUGGGGUGUCUGAAUCAAGGAUUUUGAUUAAACCCAUAAUCUCUGAGGUCCUA
This 72-nucleotide small nucleolar RNA is filed under the name Echinops telfairi (small Madagascar hedgehog). RNAcentral's name for it is "Small nucleolar RNA SNORD113/SNORD114 family (ENSETEG00000022797.1)". It matches the Rfam family "Small nucleolar RNA SNORD113/SNORD114 family". Rfam says of the family: The imprinted human domain at 14q32 contains two clusters of tandemly repeated small nucleolar RNAs named 14q(I) and 14q(II) snoRNAs. These two clusters are named SNORD113 and SNORD114 respectively in the HGNC approved gene symbol nomenclature. The record is from RNAcentral. Lineage: Eukaryota; Metazoa; Chordata; Mammalia; Afrosoricida; Tenrecidae.